Molecule: ribosomal RNA, 497 nt
Filed under: uncultured bacterium
Lineage: Bacteria
Description: partial 16S ribosomal RNA
Rfam family: Bacterial small subunit ribosomal RNA
Source: RNAcentral
GAUGAACGCUGGCGGCGUGCCUAAUACAUGCAAGUCGAGCGAACGGACGAGAAGCUUGCUUCUCUGAUGUUAGCGGCGGACGGGUGAGUAACACGUGGAUAACCUACCUAUAAGACUGGGAUAACUUCGGGAAACCGGAGCUAAUACCGGAUGAUAUUUUGAACCGCAUGGUUCAAAAGUGAAAGACGGUCUUGCUGUCACUUAUAGAUGGAUCCGCGCUGCAUUAGCUAGUUGGUAAGGUAACGGCUUACCAAGGCAACGAUGCAUAGCCGACCUGAGAGGGGGAUCGGCCACACUGGAACUGAGACACGGUCCAGACACCUACGGGAGGCAGCAGUAGGGAAUCUUCCGCAAUGGGCGAAAGCAUGACGGAGCAACGCCGCGUGAGUGAUGAAGGUCUUCGGAUCGUAAAACUCUGUUAUUAGGGAAGAACAUAUGUGUAAGUAACUGUGCACAUCUUGACGGUACCUAAUCAGAAAGCCACGGCUAACUACGUG